Molecule: ribosomal RNA, 468 nt
Filed under: uncultured bacterium
Lineage: Bacteria
Description: partial 16S ribosomal RNA
Rfam family: Bacterial small subunit ribosomal RNA
Source: RNAcentral
GACGAACGCUGGCGGCGUGCUUAACACAUGCAAGUCGAACGGAAAGGCCCUGCUUUUGUGGGGUGCUCGAGUGGCGAACGGGUGAGUAACACGUGAGUAACCUGCUCUUGACUUUGGGAUAACUUCAGGAAACUGGGGUUAAUAUCGGAUAGGAGCCCCUGCUGCAUGGUGGGGGUUGGAAAGUUUCGGCGGUCGGGGAUGGACUCGCGGCUUAUCAGCUUGUUGGUGGGGUAGUGGCUUACCAAGUCUUUGACGGGUAGCCGGCCUGAGAGGGUGACCGGCGACAUUGGGACUAAGAUACGGCCCAGACUCCUACGGGAGGCAGCAGUGGGGAAUAUUGCACAGUGGGCGGAAGCCUGAUGCAGCGGCGCCGCGUGCGGGAUGACGGCCUUCGGGUUGUGAACCGCUUUCGCCUGUGACGAAGCGUGAGUGACGGUAAUGGGUAAAGAAGCACCGGCUAACUACGUG